This 381-nucleotide ribosomal RNA is filed under the name uncultured bacterium. Its description in RNAcentral is "bacterial SSU rRNA". It matches the Rfam family "Bacterial small subunit ribosomal RNA", at positions 29 to 414 of the family's 1533-position model. The record is from RNAcentral.
ACGAACGCUGGCGGCGUGCUUAACACAUGCAAGUCGAACGAUGAACCACUUCGGUGGGGAUUAGUGGCGAACGGGUGAGUAACACGUGGGCAAUCUGCCCUUCACUCUGGGACAAGCCCUGGAAACGGGGUCUAAUACCGGAUACCACUCUCGCGGGCAUCUGCGAGGGUUGAAAGCUCCGGCGGUGAAGGAUGAGCCCGCGGCCUAUCAGCUUGUUGGUGAGGUAAUGGCUCACCAAGGCGACGACGGGUAGCCGGCCUGAGAGGGCGACCGGCCACACUGGGACUGAGACACGGCCCAGACUCCUACGGGAGGCAGCAGUGGGGAAUAUUGCACAAUGGGCGAAAGCCUGAUGCAGCGACGCCGCGUGAGGGAUGACGG